GCUGCCUGCAAAAGUUUCACAUCCGCACACUGCACAGGUUACAGCUGACUGCAGUUCGUGACAUGUUCGUUUAAAGUAGGAGAUAUUGGGCUUUCUCGUCUUGAAUAAACUAACAAUGCUGUGCUUUUGGUUGUACCUUCGAAGAGAAGAAGAGAGGGACGCAGGAAGAAGAAGAAUAAUACGGCUGAUGAACAUCUGCAGAGCAUACUGGCAGAUUACAAAAGCAACUGCUUUGUGUAAAAAUCACUUUACUCCAGACCAGUUUGAACUGACAGACUUGGUGGAGUGGUAAAACGUAAACCAAAUGCUGUGCCAACCAUUUUUGGUGAUCGUAAAGCUCCUGCCGAGAGGAAACCUGUUGGCCUACUAGAGAAACGGACUGAGGAUACAGAGGUUGGAGAGCCUUCGAAUGUGACGAAUGACGUCAGUCCUGCAGCGAACUUGGACACGACAGAAGAUGAAGUCACCACCCUGAAGAACCUAGCUUCAGGCUGGAAUUGAAGCUUUCAAGAGAAAACUCACCCUCUCUCAGAAAAGGGAGAGAAGAGUGUCUUUAGAAAAAGACAGCCUCUUUGCGAGUCUGCACGGUUUAUUCGGUGCAGAUCAGUUUGUAGUAUGAGUGAAGGGGACACGUGAAGGUAGCAAAUGGUCAGUGGAAAGGGCUAAAAAUUCGACCACCUUGUAGUAGUAAGGGGUACAAAGUCCUGCUGGAAAAUAAAUUACCAUUUCCUUCAGAUAGAACCCCAAUAUGUUCGCUACAGAGCAUA
Long non-coding RNA from Schistocerca piceifrons (Central American locust), 767 nucleotides. RefSeq lists it as uncharacterized. The transcript has 3 exons. Lineage: Eukaryota; Metazoa; Arthropoda; Insecta; Orthoptera; Acrididae. The record is from RefSeq and is a predicted model, not a curated record.